Molecule: ribosomal RNA, 813 nt
Filed under: uncultured Sphingobacteriales bacterium
Lineage: Bacteria; Pseudomonadati; Bacteroidota; Sphingobacteriia; Sphingobacteriales
Description: SSU rRNA
Rfam family: Bacterial small subunit ribosomal RNA
Source: RNAcentral
ACAUGAGAGCUUGCUCUUGAUGACGAGUGGCGCACGGGUGCGUAACGCGUAUGCAAUCUACCUAUAACUGAGGAAUAGCCCAGAGAAAUUUGGAUUAAUACCUCAUAAUAAUAUCUUUUGGCAUCAUUAGAUAUUUAAAACUCCGGUGGUUAUAGAUGAGCAUGCGUUCUAUUAGUUUGUUGGUGAGGUAAAGGCUCACCAAGACUUCGAUAGAUAGGGGGCCUGAAAGGGUGAUCCCCCACACUGGUACUGAGACACGGACCAGACUCCUACGGGAGGCAGCAGUGAGGAAUAUUGCACAAUGGAGGAAACUCUGAUGCAGCCAUGCCGCGUGCAGGAUGACGGCCCUACGGGUUGUAAACUGCUUUUUUACAAGAAGAAACCUUGGUACGUGUACCAACUUGACGGUAUUGUAAGAAUAAGCACCGGCUAACUCCGUGCCAGCAGCCGCGGUAAUACGGAGGGUGCAAGCGUUAUCCGGAUUUAUUAGGUUUAAAGGGUUCGCAGGCGGAAUUUUAAGUCAGUGGUGAAAGCCUAUAGCUCAACUAUAGAACUGCCACUGAUACUGAUAUUCUUGAGUAUAGAUGAAGUGGGCGGAAUAUGUCAUGUAGCGGUGAAAUGCAUAGAUAUGACAUGGAACACCAAUUGCGAAGGCAGCUCACUAAACUAUUACUGACGCUCAUGAACGAAAGCAUGGGGAGCGAACAGGAUUAGAUACCCUGGUAGUCCAUGCCGUAAACGAUGAUCACUAGACGUUGGCGAUAUAAUGUCAGUGUUUAANAGAAAUCAUUAAGUGAUCCACCUGGGGAGUAC